GCUGGAUAUGGGAGUCUGGGGCUAAGAGGAGGGGUGUUGGCUAGAUAUAUAAGCUUUGAAGUCAUCAGCCUAUAAAUAUUGACAAAACAAGUGAGGUGGCAGAGGAAUUAGUGAACAUAGAAAAAAAAGAGGUCUGAGGAUUGAGAUCAGAGGCAUGCCCAUAUAUUAAAGAUUAAGGAACAGAGGAAGAAUCCACAAAGGAGAUUGAGAAGGAGUAGUCAGGGAGGUAGAAAGCAAGCCAAGAGACUGUCUCAAGUAGAAGGGAAUGAUCAACUGCUGACUGAUUAAGUAAGAUAAGGACUGAGACUUAGCAACAUGGAGGUCAUCAGUGAUUUUUGACUAGCUCAACCUGUGAGAGUGAAAACAUGACUGAAGUGAGUUCAAAGGGAAGUGGAGGAGUGGUCUUAGAGACAGUGAAUGCAGUCAGUCCUUUAAAUUUUGUCCUGAAGGGGAGUCGAGAUAUGAUAUAAGGAAAAGAUUUUCAUUUUUCCAAUGGAAGAUAAUAUAGCACAUUUACUUGCUGGUGAGAAUGAUCCAAGAGAGGAGGAAAAAACUGAUAAAAGACAGGGAAAGAAGGGACAAAGUACAAUUACUAAAACUUUCAAGGAAGGGGAAGAAACUAAGACUAUAAGUAGAGGGAUUGUCUUAGCUCAGGGGAUGGAACAUGUGUGUACUGUAGCACGCAGGGUGCACUAACAGAUGCAAGUGAAUGUGGUGAUGGGAAUGAGGAGGGGCAUUUUCAGGUUGCUUUAAUUUUCUUAGUGAAUUUGGAGGUAAGGGCAUGAACUUGAAAUGAGGGUGGAAAAGGAGAUAUUGUAGGAAAAGAUACAAAAUAGUCAUUUAGGAGGGUGGGAGAGGAACUAAACAAGGAGAAUGGGGCAGUAAAUAGACUAGGAAGAUGUAGUGGGAUUGCUGAAUAGCACAAAAGUCUCACCGGAGGUGAGUGAUAACGAGUUUAAAUCAGGACCGCCUGGUUUGGAUGUGUAUUUUCUCCUGCCAUAUUAAGCUGCAGGCAUGUGCAAACAUCAUGUGUGGGGAAUUGAAUUAAGCCAGGACUGGGUCCUUUUCAAGAAAAUACAAUGAAAGGAGAGAAGGGCAAGAGAGUUGAAAGUGUAUGCAAGGGAAUUUAUACUGAUGGACUGUAGAAUCUACACAGGGUAAGGACGCGAGGUGAGUGCGGGACAGUGAAAAGGUGGUGGCAUCAGAUUAACUAAUUUUCAGUCCCAAAGGACCAGAAAUAUUUUAGGAAUUGGGAUGUUAGUGGGAAUAAACUAUUAGGUUGGUGCAAAAGUAAUUUUCUUGUUUGUUUGGUUUUUUGUUUGUUUGUUUGUUUUGCCCUUACUUUUGCACCAACCUAACAGGAAAAAUCAGUGGUUAUGGUCAGAAAGUGGGAAGCUUGAAGUUGAGAUUAUCAAGUUAAUAUCAGUGCAGUCAUUGGUAAUGAUAAGUUCUAGGAUCUAAGCAAUGGGAAGAAAGAAGUUGGCUGAAGAAAUGAUGGAAAUUAAUUAUAUAAUUGAAGAAAAAGAAGUCAAGGCACUGAGAGCAUGUUCAGUUGGCAGAAAUUCCAUGACAGCAUCUACAAGGGCAUAUUGGAGAGAGUGAGGGUAAGCUUGGAGUUUUCGCUCGUUGAACUUGUUCUCGUGAGCCUAUGAAUCUGGAGAAUCUUAUCCUUCUGUUCUAGGGAAGUUUUAAAAUCCUUUCUUUUAUAAUUUCUCCCCUCUGUUUUCUACAUUUUGUCUUUCUUAAAGUCCUGUUAGUAAAUGAUGGUCUCCUAGUUCAAUUACCUGAUUUACUUGACUCUUCCAUUUUUCCAUCCCUUUGUCUUUUUACUUAGUUUCUUGAAGACUUACCUUCCAGCCCUUUUAUUGAAUCUGUUAUUUCUGUUACCCUAUUUUCAUUUACCAAGAAUGAUUUCUUAUGCUCUACAUACUCCUUUUUUCAUGUAACCACACAUUCUUAUUUUGCAGAUGUAACAUUUUAUCUUUUUUUUGAGGUCAAUAAUAUGUUUAAGUGUUCUUUUCACUGCACUUUUUGUUACUCCAAGUUGCCUUUAUUCAUUUAUUUGUUUAUUUUAAUCUUUAAUAUUUUAUGUUGGAGACUUUCCUCACAUGUCUGGUGAUACUUGAUUGUUCACACUUAAGAGUGAGGCACUUAAAAAGCAAAUGGGAAGCUUUGUGUGUAUUUGCAGUGUUUGUCAAUUGCUACUGUUUACUGGAGAGCAAUCAGUCAGGCACCUGGUCAUUUCACUGGGAGACUUAAAAAUGUCAGUAUAUAAGUCUUUUCUCCAAUCAGUUGGUUUUGUCAAAGGGGACUCUUCCAAUUCCCUGCCUAGGGAAUAUAAAUCUAGUUGCCAGUGCCCUAACUGCAAGUGAGGGAAAAAGGGUGGGAGUCUCACUAAUUAGUAUAUGGCAUGUAGACUUGACCUUGAUCAUCCUUUUUCAGCCUUACUCCUAUCCUCUACAAAACAUGGUAUCAUUGGGUCUGAAAAUCCCUGGCUCUAUUUCCCUAGAAAUUAAACCAGUUGCCUGCUGGGCUGGUUGGUGUACAGAAGAGGAGAAGGAUUCUGAGGGGUCAUCUCCAAUCCCAUUUUUUUUCAGCCCCAGCCUGCAUCCCUUUCUACAGAAGUAACAACAAUUUCCAGUUUCUGAGCCUUUCCAGGGUUGUACAUCAUUUCAGAGAGGCUUCAGGAUGGAGUUGUGAUAAACGCAUGUGUUCAGUCUACAAUGUUUAACAGGGAGUGCCUCUUGAUUUUUUCAUGUGAAUUACUGAGGAGUAGGUAGUAGACUAUCUUGAUGCCCUUCCUCAUGUCCCUUUGACUCUGAGUUGACCUGCAGCUGCAGUGAACACUUCCUAAGGAUGCUGAUGUCUUCCCCUAUCAAGCACUUGCCUCAUUCUGCUUCUCCGAGGAUUUCCUCCAGUACACCAAGAGCUUGCCCGACACUCACAAGGUAUCCUGGAACUGCUGGGGACUGAAAACCCCUCAACCCAUGAAGAAUGAGGAUCAGUGGAUUAAUAGCAACUGUCCCAUACCUUGGUGGGACUAUUAUAAGGCAUUCUGGUUGGUUCCUCAGAGGUCCCAAAUGGGAUUGAACCAAAGUUGCCCACAGUAAAAACUCAUUCACCAACUCAAUUUUCAUUUCACCCCUCUCAAUUUGCACACUCACUCACUUGUUCUACCUGGGAUACUCUCCAAGAUAAACUCCUGUAUCCAAAGCUUUGUCUCAAGGUCUCAUUUGGGAGGAACUCAAACUAAGAUAAUAGGUACUGGAAGUGACUACAGAAAGUAUAUUAUCAAUGGUAUGGAGGCAACAAAAACCCCAUUAAUGGUGGUGAGUAAGGUGGUGACAAACCCUGGCACUUUGAAGAAUUUCAUUACCCACAAUUGACCCAUGGUGUACUUGGAUGAGGUAAAAAUGAAAGGAGACGCUAACCUUAUGCAAUAGUGCUAACUCCUGAAAGAUAUAGGGCUGUGAUAAUCACAGGAAUUGAAGAGUUGUCUUGUUCUUGUUAACUCCCCUAGAAGAAUUGGGAAAAAAGAAAGAUAGGUUUACAACAUCCAACUACCCAUUCAGAGCAUAGCAAUGAAAGCCAGAAGGUCUCCUUGGGAGAAUCUGAAGAGACCCCCAUUUCCUGCAACCAGAGGGCAGGCUGUUCUAAAAAAAUGACAUUCAGGGGUUCACUGCAAGAGGAAUUGAACUACAGAGCAGACUGAAGACACAGUCCAGGCAGGCCUCUCAUGCAAAAGUCAAAGCCCUAGAGGAAGGAAAUGGUCCUUAAAAACUACUGGGAUGCAGGCAGGCAUCUGGAUAGAUGUGCUAGAUAACCUUGAACCCCUAGAUUCCCUGAACAACCCAGGCUAGCAGGAGUAUCCUGCACCCUGUUACUUGAACAGAACAGCUUCCCUUUGCCUAGAGACUCUACACAGUCCUCCUCUGAAGCAGACACCUCCAAGAUUACUUCAAGGUCUGCUACUUCCUGCCCUCAUUGCCUCUAUUCCAAAAACUGGAAACAAGUCUCAGCAUGCCCUGAGCAGGGUAGCACAUUUCUUGCUGUGAGAGAUAUGACAGAUUGUAUUUUCUAAAGAAGGCUGCAACCAUGUCUCUCAUCCCAAAUGCUCUUCUACAAUGCAAUCUUGUCACUCCUCUACCAAGAGAUGAAACCUAAUUUCAAUGCCCUUGAAUCUAAGCUGGACUUUACUUGCUUUGACCUGUAAUGUACAGAAGUGACACUGUGUGAUUCUUACAGCUGAGUCAUAAAAGGUGAUGCAGCUUCUGCCUUGUUCCUGGGGACAUAUGCCUCUGUGAGAUUGAGCUACUAAAUAACAAGACCACCUACCUUGAGGCUGCCAUGCUGGAAGAAAGCAAAGCCACAUGAAGAGCAAGUAAGCUGGUUGCUUUAGCAAGAUCCUUCAUAUUGAUAGUGAAUGUGCACUUCUGUCUUUCUCUUGUGAAUGCAAACCACUUUUUCAAUAGUCUCACGUUAAGUGCCAAAGAUUGUUGUUUUUGUUGAAUGCAUUCUCUUUAUCAUUCACUACCUGGCCCUAGGAAUUUGUUCAAUGAUCCUCAUUUCUGUUACAAUAUAGUCUUCAGUGACCUUGAUCAUCUUCACAUUCUAUAGAACAUCAUCCUGGCCCAUUAUAUUAAUGACAGAAUAAUAAUUGAACUUGGUUUUUAGGAAGGAGCAAGUAUACUGGUUUUAAAUACUUCAUGCUGAAGGAAUGAGAGAUAAGCCCUACAAAGUUUUGGAAGUCUGCCACAUCAGGGAAUAUUUUAGGGGCCCAAAGAUCCAGGGGUAUGUUGAGACACCCUACUCAAAAGAAUACUUUACAUUUCCUACCACUAAGACAGAGGCACAGCACUUGGUGAGCUGCUUUGAAUUCCUGAGGCAAAAAAAUAACAAUAAUAAAUACUACCCAUGAGAAUAAUGCUCUGAUCUAUUGUAUCAGAAGACUAUUGACUUUGCGGGGGUCUGAGAGAGUAUCUGAAUAGCCUUUUAAAGACUUAAAAAGGCAUUGGCUUAGGAAUUGCACCUUGCAUGGCUAGGUCAUUGUCCUCGAGGAUACAGCAUAUUUGUUGAACCAGUGAUCACUAUAUGCAAUCACUGUGCUGUUUUCCCAGCAUUUGGAAUACACAGGAAUGAUAAUUAAAGGAUACAAGUAGGACUGACUUAAACACACUCCCUUUCACCCAUUAGUGGAAAUUAUGUUUUUAAUUCUUACAACUUUAGGCUCUUCCUGAUUAAAAGCCUUGGUCUCAAGGUGUGUGUACAGACGGAGACAGUAAGUGUUCCACUGCAUCAAUGCAGUGCCAUCUGAGGAUUUGGGCAUCUCCAUACUGACAGGUCAGCAGGCAAAAAUGGGAGUACUAUACUGGCAGGGACACCUGACUGAUUAUCUUGAAGAGUCGGAGUUGCUGCUACAUAAUGGGCCCAGGGAGGAAGAUGUCUAGAACUUGGGGGAAUCACUCAGGCCCCCCUUAGUGCUUCUUUGUCUGGCGAUAAUAGCAGAGAAGCAAUUGAAGUAGCCAUGUCCUCACAAGGGCAAGGUAAUCAAGGCCCAGCCACUCAGAGAUGAAGGUCUGGUCAUACACUGAGCAAGCAAUGAUGACUAGUGGAAGUGCUAGCCAAGGAUUCGGGAAAUCUAGAAGAAGUGGAAUUGGAGAGAGAUGAUGAGUAUAGAUUAUAGCCUUGGGACCAGCUGCAGCAGUGAAGAUUGUGACUUGUUCCACAUAUUCUUCUAUUUUCAGUCAUUUUUGGAGAUUGCAGCCAGCUACAACUCUGAAAUGUCAGUAACAGAGCAAACUAAGGGUGGGCAUGAGAGGAUCUGCUGAGAGCAAGGAAUGAACAUGGUAGUCACUAAUGAUACACUGCCCAUGUUCCCCGGCUCACCUGUUAGCUCCCCGGCAGCUUGCAAACAUGUCUAUACACACUGCCAUCUUCCUACCACGAGUGCCAUAACUCUCUGCUUCUCUGCUGAGGCCCUUCUCAGCUCACAGUGCGAGUAGCCUGCAAGUGCUAAGGGCAUAAUGCCUCCAAGGUCAACUUUAAUCAACGAGGUUCAAGAGUCAGAAGAGUGAAUUCCUUCUGAGAUACAUUCUUUCUGGUUUCUCAGAGGCUCCCCAGAGGAAGUAGGCCCCAGUUGCUUAGGAAAAAUGGAACCUACUUAUUAAGGCACCCCCUUUUUACUUUUCUCCUUUCUUUCUCUCCCUUUCCCCACUCCAUUCCGUGAAGUUCCUGGGAUCACCAAAUAAACUAUCUGUAAUCAAAUCUUUAUCUCACUCUGCAUUCUGGGGAACCCAAACAAAGAUGGUAAGUUUGCCUAUCUACAUUUAUGUCUUAUUUGCUACAAGUAUUACUGGUAAUUUUCUUGACAAAAGUAAUAUGAUAUCUGCUGAUAGGCCAAAAUAAUACAUAUUUAUAGUGAUAACUGCAGCAAAAAUGUGAAAACCAAUUUUAAAAAGUUAUUUUCACUAGUUUAAGAAAAA
This 6482-nucleotide long non-coding RNA is filed under the name Homo sapiens (human). Its description in RNAcentral is "HSALNT0322743". The record is from RNAcentral. Lineage: Eukaryota; Metazoa; Chordata; Mammalia; Primates; Hominidae.